GGGAAGUCGGUCCAAUGCCGACGCGGUGCCGCCGCUGUAGCCGGGGACUCUCCUGGACCAUGCCACUCCGAUCGCAAGACGCGGCGGGAGGGGAGCUCCAAGAGGGAACGAUCCGGGAGCCAGAAGACC
This 129-nucleotide non-coding RNA is filed under the name Myxococcales bacterium. Lineage: Bacteria; Pseudomonadati; Myxococcota; Myxococcia; Myxococcales. The record is from RNAcentral.